RNAcentral lists this long non-coding RNA (1568 nucleotides) under Dromaius novaehollandiae (emu). Its description in RNAcentral is "lncRNA (ENSDNVG00000015000.1)". The record is from RNAcentral. Lineage: Eukaryota; Metazoa; Chordata; Aves; Casuariiformes; Dromaiidae.
UCUUGCUGUGACCAUGGGUGAGUCGAGACUGGUAGGCUCAGCCUGGUGUUACUUAYGUUUCCUUGGAACCAAAACCCAGUWUCUCUUUGUGUUCUCGCAUGUCUUUAGUGGGACUGAUGAUCCCCGCUGGCGGCCAGGGAGCUCUUAGAGGCUCGGCGUGGCCCAGCCAGCUGCUGUGUUAACACUUCCCUGUCUGCUGCAUCAGGAUACAAUAGUUCCCUAGGGAUCUUAUCCAUUGAGCAUGAAUUAAAGGAGUCCCUGAGCCACUCUAAUCAUGUUCAGUGCAGACGGUUCAUGAAUGUUGAGGCAGUGUAACUAGCUUUAUGAUGGUCCUGCUCUCCUCUUUGUAGGUCUGCUUGAUGCAGGUCUACAGGAGAGAACAGGAUCUACAGGAGAGGUCUGGCAGGAAGGAAACUGAGCUCAGGCYUUUCUAGAGAGCUCAGGUCCUGAAAGGACCUGGCCCAUGUUAGCCUGACUGCCACUGUCUUUCCGGAUGGCUCCUCACCGUUGUCUGUAAAUCCCUAUCUGCCUGGUUUUCUUGUUUGCUUCUUUACGAUUGUUAUAACUCUUAUCUCUGACACCAGCAUGAGUUAAAUACAAGGGCCCGAACAGUCUCAGAGAGCUCUACCAUCUCCCUGGAAGAAGACAUUCAGCCGUGCUUGGAAAGCGUGGCUGAGGAUGUCACCGAAGAGCAGUCAUCGACGGAGGAGGAGAAGCCAGAUGAAGYUGAGAGCUCGGGAUUCAGAUGGUUCGGCUGGUUUCGGUCGAAGCCCCCCAAGAAAGCCUCUCCCAAAGCCACAUCCGACACGCUGGGAUCUCAGGAACGGCCUUCGCCAUCCCCCCCKGCUUCUCCUCUUCCGACGGCGGGGACAAGCCCUUCAGCUCAGCCUCCUGGGGGCCCGUCUCCCSCCGCGCCCAGCCCUUCCUCCAGAAACCCAGGUAAGUGUGGCAAAGACGGCCUCUCCGCCGCUCACCCUCGGCCUUUCAGAAGCUGCUCCCCUGUAUUUCGAGGGUUGCACAGCCCGGAAUGAAUGAAACAUGAUGCCGACAUCCUUGUUGUUACCCCAGUGUCCGUUGAAACGAAAGGCUCGUGGGGCAUGGACGGCGGGGAGCUGGCAGCCUUUCCCGAGGCCGGAGAGCAGGUGAGGGUGGCUUGUGUGUGUGCGSAUGUGUGUGUCUGUGCCUUUUUGUCAUCUUUUCUCAGAGCAAAGCCAUAACCAGCAACGCUCCUCUGUCUCCAUAACGUCUUCAAACCUGUAGGCCUAUUUUUCCAAAUUUGCCAAGGGGACAAAGGCCUUAACGUUGCUCUGUUUGUACGAAAUUCAUGAAUACAGGCGGUGGGUAGAGGAGAGUGACCCUCUUGCCUUAUCUGUGCCUUAUUGUGAACUUAGCGGUGUUAACAGACAGCACAGCAUCCCCACGGCCUAACCCUGGGGGGGGGGGAAAGCACCUCGAUCGCCGUUUGCAGCUCAUUGCCCCUGGGAGGCUCCACGCCAAGGAUGCAGCUCCCGCGUUCGGCUCCUUCUGCCCGGUCAGGGGGAGCACAGGAGACGUCCUCCUGAUCUUGU